RNAcentral lists this long non-coding RNA (624 nucleotides) under Panax ginseng (ginseng). RNAcentral's name for it is "long non-coding RNA (PGIN_LNC018652)". Lineage: Eukaryota; Viridiplantae; Streptophyta; Magnoliopsida; Apiales; Araliaceae. The record is from RNAcentral.
GAAAGUCAUCUUUGGCCCGUAAUGCAUAGAUGGACUAUUGAUUGUUAUGAUUAUGACCAAGAAUUAUGUAUCGGUAUAAUCAUGACCUGUAAUAUUACAAAUGAUGUGGUAAAAGUCCUCAUUAGCCCGUAGUGCAUUGAUGGACAGUUGUUUGGCAUGAUCAUGACCACUAGUGAUAAUAACGAAUAUCAUUGGCCCGUAGUGCAUGGAUAAUUCGUUGAUGUGAAUUAUUUAUUGAGAUGUGUUACAGAGAUAAAAUAUUAUUGAUGAACUUUUAAAUCAUAGAAGAUAGUAGACAUCAUGCUCUACUUAACUCUUCUAAUGGAUUGCUUGUUCCGCUGCAGUUAAACUUAUUUUCUAUUGUAUUCUAUCAGUUUUACACUGUUGAAGGCUAAGAAUAAUUUAUUUUGCAUUAUCUUAGUCAUAAUAUUCUUUACUGGGCUAGUUGAGCUCACCCUUUUCUUUCAUUGUUCUCUUUAGGAAAUGAGAAUAUAGCUGGAACUAGUCGGGAAACGGAGUGAUGGUCCAAGAUGGUGGCUAUAGUAGUCCUCACUAUUCUAUAAAAUAGUGUGAAUAAUUGUAAUGAGAACUUCAUUUGAGUCUGGAUAUUGUCUACGAGACAAU